Molecule: long non-coding RNA, 722 nt
Filed under: Malus domestica (apple)
Lineage: Eukaryota; Viridiplantae; Streptophyta; Magnoliopsida; Rosales; Rosaceae
Description: long non-coding RNA (MDOM_LNC020656)
Source: RNAcentral
CUAAGGAAAAAUAACAUAAAUGCAUGAGAACAAGCCAAUUAAGUCGCAUAAAAAUGCUCUUAUCAACCACUUAUGGAAUAUAUCACAUUUACCUGGCGUUGGUUAUGGUUACCCCUUGAAGGGUGAAGGAGGAAUUGAUCAAUCUUUCCUUCAUGUGCCAAAGCUUCAAUAUGACCACGAAGGGUGAUACACUUCUCGCCGUCAUGGCCGUUAUGCUCGUGGUAGCAGCAAAACGUGCCCGUGUUCUUCGUGGGCUUGUAAUCUGUGUGCCUUGGCUUUGGCUUUGGUAUCUGGUGUGAUAGGCUGGGGUAAAUGGCCAUGCAUGUGAAGUUCAAAGGUGUGUAUGCCUCAUACCUUGGGGUAGGGGCUGUCAUGACAUGUGCUUGACCUACUGUGUUGAUUUCCUGAGGUCGAGGAUUAUCAUGGCGAUACCCUUGAUUAUCGUGGUAGUGUCCCUUACUCCUUUUACUAAAAUGAGACUGGUGAGGAUGAAAAUCUUUCCUUUUGCCCUGAGAUUGAUAUGUCUGUUGACUUGGCAAAAGUAUUAAGCAAGGUAGGGGGAGGCACCGCUGAAGGAAAUUUUGUGAAAAACAUGUUCAUUUAAGCAACAUCUAUAGCAUGCAAUUAACAAAUUUAAAGGCGGAAUCAUGCUUGUAUGCACUUAAAAUCAAAACAUUAACCAUGAAAUUCAAAGCCUAGUAGAUUGGUGAACCAAGACUCAA